GAACUUAAGCAUAUCAAUAAGCGGAGGAAAAGAAACCAACAGGGAUUGCCCUAGUAACGGCGAGUGAAGCGGCAACAGCUCAAAUUUGAAAUCUGGCGCAAGCCCGAGUUGUAAUUUGUAGAGGAUGUUUCUGGCGACGUGCCUUCCGAGUUCCCUGGAACGGGACGCCAUAGAGGGUGAGAGCCCCGUACGGUUGGAUGCCUAGCCUCUGUGAAACUCCUUCGACGAGUCGAGUAGUUUGGGAAUGCUGCUCUAAAUGGGAGGUAUACGUCUUCUAAAGCUAAAUACCGGCCAGAGACCGAUAGCGCACAAGUAGAGUGAUCGAAAGAUGAAAAGCACUUUGAAAAGAGGGUUAAAAAGUACGUGAAAUUGUUGAAAGGGAAGCGUUCAUGACCAGACUUGGGCAGGUUGAUCAUCCGUGGUUCUCCGCGGUGCACUCUGCCUGCCCAGGCCAGCAUCAGUUCGCCCCGGGGGAUAAAGGCUUUGGGAAUGUGGCUCCCUCGGGAGUGUUAUAGCCCACUGUGUAAUACCCUGGGGUGGACUGAGGUUCGCGCUCUGCAAGGAUGCUGGCGUAAUGGUCAUCAACGACCCGUCUUGAAACACGGACCAAGGAGUCGUCUUCGUAUGCGAGUGUUCGGGUGUCAAACCCCUACGCGUAAUGAAAGUGAACGUAGGAGAGAGCUUCGGCGCAUCUCCGACCGAUCCUGAUGUUCUCGGAUGGAUUUGAGUAAGAGCAUACGGGGCCGGACCCGAAA
RNAcentral lists this ribosomal RNA (755 nucleotides) under uncultured fungus. Its description in RNAcentral is "eukaryotic LSU rRNA". It matches the Rfam family "Eukaryotic large subunit ribosomal RNA", at positions 30 to 821 of the family's 3401-position model. Lineage: Eukaryota; Fungi. The record is from RNAcentral.